Long non-coding RNA from Phyllopteryx taeniolatus (common seadragon), 714 nucleotides. RefSeq lists it as uncharacterized. The transcript has 3 exons. NCBI's taxonomy places the organism in Eukaryota, Metazoa, Chordata, Actinopteri, Syngnathiformes, Syngnathidae. The record is from RefSeq and is a predicted model, not a curated record.
AGGCUAUUUAUUUAAUUACCUCCCCGUCCUCUCGAUUUCCUCCUCUUGUUCUUAGGACUGAGGAUCAAGAAGGAAGCUGACGCUGCAGAGAGAAAGAGAGCGAGAGAGAUUGCAUGAUCCUCCACCAUGUCAACGUUGUUUUUGUAUGUUUUGUGAUGUCAGAUCCUCCCUGCUCCUCCACUUUGAUGAGUCAGAGUGUUCACCUUUUCUCUUCAAAUUUGACAGCUGCCUUGAGGUAAAAAACAAAAACAAAAAAAAAACCUCCACCAUGUCUCCCUUCAUCCUUCUUUCUCUCUUCGGUUGAACAGAGUAUAUCUCGUCUUUAUCCAGACCUGUCUUUCGCUGGGAUAUAUUUUCCACCUGCCUAACUACACCUCACGCAUGAUGGAUAUAUUGUAUAUUGAGAGACAGAGAGAAAAAUUGAGCAAGGGGGGUGUGAUGAUUGCUUAAAAUUGAUUGGGGGGAAAAUAAAAUAUGCUUCUUCUCUCCAGACUUGGCAUUGCUUGGGACUGGCACUGCGGUUUGUAUUCAUUGUGGGAGGUGGAUAAACAGAUGGCGACAUCAGAAUCUCUGGGGGCAUACACCAACGCUAUGUUAGUGUGUGUGAAAACAUGCCUUUGAGCAUUUUAUCCCAAGAACAUGUCUGUGCAUGUACUUAUCUAUUGUCAUAAAAAUGAGUCAUUUGUGUAUUUAAUGUAUUCCUGGCUCUAUACA